Molecule: transfer RNA, 72 nt
Filed under: Planctomycetota bacterium
Lineage: Bacteria; Pseudomonadati; Planctomycetota
Description: Planctomycetes bacterium tRNA-Thr
Rfam family: tRNA
About the family: Transfer RNA (tRNA) molecules are approximately 80 nucleotides in length.
Source: RNAcentral
GCCAGGGUAGCUCAGCGGUAGAGCAGCGCAUUCGUAAUGCGCAGGCCGUGAGUUCGAAUCUCAUCCCUGGCU